RNAcentral lists this ribosomal RNA (893 nucleotides) under uncultured bacterium. RNAcentral's name for it is "bacterial SSU rRNA". It matches the Rfam family "Bacterial small subunit ribosomal RNA", at positions 1 to 902 of the family's 1533-position model. The record is from RNAcentral.
CCCUUAGAGUUUGAUCCUGGCUCAGGAUGAACGCUAGCGGCAGGCUUAAUACAUGCAAGUCGAGGGGCAGCGGGGGUAGCAAUACCUGCCGGCGACCGGCAAACGGGUGCGGAACACGUACAGAACCUUCCUUUAAGCGGGGAAUAGCCCGGAGAAAUCCGGAUUAAUACCCCAUAGAAUUGUUUAGUGGCAUCAUUAGAUAAUUAAAGAUUUAUCACUUAAAGAUGGCUGUGCGGCUGAUUAGGUAGUUGGUUGAGGUAACGGCUCACCAAGCCUGCGAUCAGUAACUGGUGUGAGAGCACGACCAGUCACACGGGCACUGAGACACGGGCCCGACUCCUACGGGAGGCAGCAGUAAGGAAUAUUGGUCAAUGGACGCAAGUCUGAACCAGCCAUGCCGCGUGAAGGAUGAAGGUCCUCUGGAUUGUAAACUUCUUUUAUCUGGGACGAAACCCUCGCAUUCUUGUGAGAUUGACGGUACCAGAGGAAUAAGCACCGGCUAACUCCGUGCCAGCAGCCGCGGUAAUACGGAGGGUGCAAGCGUUAUCCGGAUUCACUGGGUUUAAAGGGUGCGUAGGUGGGAAUGUAAGUCAGUGGUGAAAUCUCCGUGCUUAACAUGGAAACUGCCAUUGAUACUAUGUUUCUUGAAUUUUCUGGAGGUCAGCGGAAUAUGUCAUGUAGCGGUGAAAUGCUUAGAUAUGACAUAGAACACCAAUUGCGAAGGCAGCUGGCUACAGGGAUAUUGACACUGAGGCACGAAAGCGUGGGGAUCAAACAGGAUUAGAUACCCUGGUAGUCCACGCCCUAAACGAUGGAUACUCGACAUUUGUGAUACACAUAAGUGUCUGAGCGAAGCAUAAGUAUCCCACCUGGGAGUACGACGCAGUGAACUC